Molecule: ribosomal RNA, 459 nt
Filed under: uncultured bacterium
Lineage: Bacteria
Description: partial 16S ribosomal RNA
Rfam family: Bacterial small subunit ribosomal RNA
Source: RNAcentral
CCUACGGGAGGCUGCAGUGAGGAAUAUUGGUCAAUGGGAGAGAUCCUGAACCAGCCAAGCCGCGUGAGGGAAGACGGCCCUAUGGGUUGUAAACCUCUUUUGUCGGAGAACAAAACCCGGGACGUGUCCCGGACUGCGUGUAUCCGAAGAAAAAGCAUCGGCUAACUCCGUGCCAGCAGCCGCGGUAAUACGGAGGAUGCGAGCGUUAUCCGGAUUUAUUGGGUUAAAAGGGUGCGUAGGCGGUCCGUUAAGUCAGCGGGAAAAUUGCGGGGCUCAACCCCGUCGAGCAGUUGAAACUGGCAGGCUAGAGUUGGCGAGAGGUACGCGGAAUGCGCGGUGUAGCGGUGAAAUGCGUAGAGAUCGCGCAGAACACCGAUGGCGAAGGCAGCGUACCGGCGACAGACUGACGCUGAGGCGCGAAAGCGUGGGGAGCGAACAGGAUUAGAUACCCUUGUAGUC